GACGAACGCUGGCGGCGUGGAUUAGGCAUGCAAGUCGAACGGUAUCAUCCUUUCGGGGGUGAGAGAGUGGCGAACUGGUGAGUAACACGUAGGUUAUCUACCCUCAAGACGGGGACAACCCAGGGAAACUUGGGCUAAUACCGGAUGUGAGCAACUUUUAGUUGUUUGAAAGGUGGCGUAAGCUGUCGCUUGGGGAUGAGCCUGCGUCCUAUUAGUUAGUUGGUGAGGUAACGGCUCACCUAGGCAAUGAUAGGUAGGCGGCCUUAACGGGUGGUCGCCCACACUGGGAUUGAGAUACGGCCCAGACUCCUACGGGAGGCAGCAGUCGAGAAUAGUCUACAAUGGUCGGAAGACUGAUAGUGCGACGCCGCGUGAACGAUGAAUCCCUUCGGGGUGUAAAGUUCUUUUAUAUGUGAGCAGUGCUUUCUUAUAUUAACAGUAUGGGGGAGAGAGAUAUUAGCAUAUGAAUAAGCAACGGCUAACUCCGUGCCAGCAGCCGCGGUAAAA
This 507-nucleotide ribosomal RNA is filed under the name uncultured bacterium. Its description in RNAcentral is "bacterial SSU rRNA". It matches the Rfam family "Bacterial small subunit ribosomal RNA", at positions 28 to 525 of the family's 1533-position model. The record is from RNAcentral.